RNAcentral lists this ribosomal RNA (468 nucleotides) under uncultured bacterium. RNAcentral describes it as "partial 16S ribosomal RNA". It matches the Rfam family "Bacterial small subunit ribosomal RNA", at positions 28 to 507 of the family's 1533-position model. The record is from RNAcentral.
GACGAACGCUGGCGGCGUGCUUAACACAUGCAAGUCGAACGGAAAGGCCCUGCUUUUGUGGGGUGCUCGAGUGGCGAACGGGUGAGUAACACGUGAGUAACCUGCCCUUGACUUUGGGAUAACUUCAGGAAACUGGGGCUAAUACCGGAUAGGAGCUCCUGCUGCAUGGUGGGGGUUGGAAAGUUUCGGCGGUUGGUGAUGGACUCGCGGCUUAUCAGCUUGUUGGUGGGGUAGUGGCUUACCAAGGCUUUGACGGGUAGCCGGCCUGAGAGGCUGACCGGCCACAUUGGGCCUGAGAUACGGCCCAGACUCCUACGGGAGGCAACGGUGGAGAAUAUUGCACAGUGGGAGGAAGCCUGAUGCGACAACGCCGCGUGCGGGAUGACGUCCUUCGGGUUGUAAACCGCUUUCGCCUUAGACGAGGCGUGAGUGACGGUAAUGGGUAAAGAAGCACCGGCUAACUACGUG